AUUGAACGCUGGCGGCAUGCCUUACACAUGCAAGUCGAACGGCAGCACGGAGCUUGCUCUGGUGGCGAGUGGCGAACGGGUGAGUAAUAUAUCGGAACGUACCCUAGAGUGGGGGAUAACGUAGCGAAAGUUACGCUAAUACCGCAUACGAUCUAAGGAUGAAAGUGGGGGAUCGCAAGACCUCAUGCUCGUGGAGCGGCCGAUAUCUGAUUAGCUAGUUGGUAGGGUAAAAGCCUACCAAGGCAUCGAUCAGUAGCUGGUCUGAGAGGACGACCAGCCACACUGGAACUGAGACACGGUCCAGACUCCUACGGGAGGCAGCAGUGGGGAAUUUUGGACAAUGGGCGAAAGCCUGAUCCAGCAAUGCCGCGUGAGUGAAGAAGGCCUUCGGGUUGUAAAGCUCUUUUGUCAGGGAAGAAACGGUGAAAGCUAAUAUCUUUUGCUAAUGACGGUACCUGAAGAAUAAGCACCGGCUAACUACGUGCCAGCAGCCGCGGUAAUACGUAGGGUGCAAGCGUUAAUCGGAAUUACUGGGCGUAAAGCGUGCGCAGGCGGUUUUGUAAGUCUGAUGUGAAAUCCCCGGGCUCAACCUGGGAAUUGCAUUGGAGACUGCAAGGCUAGAAUCUGGCAGAGGGGGGUAGAAUUCCACGUGUAGCAGUGAAAUGCGUAGAUAUGUGGAGGGACACCGAUGGCGAAGGCAGCCCCCUGGGUCAAGAUUGACGCUCAUGCACGAAAGCGUGGGGAGCAAACAGGAUUAGAUACCCUGGUAGUCCACGCCCUAAACGAUGUCUACUAGUUGUCGGGUCUUAAUUGACUUGGUAACGCAGCUAACGCGUGAAGUAGACCGCCUGGGGAGUACGGUCGCAAGAUUAAAACUCAAAGGAAUUGACGGGGACCCGCACAAGCGGUGGAUGAUGUGGAUUAAUUCGAUGCAACGCGAAAAACCUUACCUACCCUUGACAUGGCUGGAAUCCUUGAGAGAUCAGGGAGUGCUCGAAAGAGAACCAGUACACAGGUGCUGCAUGGCUGUCGUCAGCUCGUGUCGUGAGAUGUUGGGUUAAGUCCCGCAACGAGCGCAACCCUUGUCAUUAGUUGCUACGAAAGGGCACUCUAAUGAGACUGCCGGUGACAAACCGGAGGAAGGUGGGGAUGACGUCAAGUCCUCAUGGCCCUUAUGGGUAGGGCUUCACACGUCAUACAAUGGUACAUACAGAGCGCCGCCAACCCGCGAGGGGGAGCUAAUCGCAGAAAGUGUAUCGUAGUCCGGAUUGUAGUCUGCAACUCGACUGCAUGAAGUUGGAAUCGCUAGUAAUCGCGGAUCAGCAUGUCGCGGUGAAUACGUUCCCGGGUCU
This 1352-nucleotide ribosomal RNA is filed under the name uncultured bacterium. RNAcentral's name for it is "bacterial SSU rRNA". It matches the Rfam family "Bacterial small subunit ribosomal RNA", at positions 28 to 1381 of the family's 1533-position model. The record is from RNAcentral.